GGUGAAGAUAAUUUUGUUUUUCUACAAUUUCAGAAGUGUUUGAGCUACAUAUGGAGGAGUUGCGUAGAAAGCAAGAGGAGAUUUCUAAGAAAGAUGGUGAAAUCAAAGUAUUGGAGGCUAUAAUACAAACACUCAGUAGAAAUGGCUCAACUGCCUCAGAAGAUUAAGCAGCAGAUAUGUUUAUCUGUUUUAGCUUGUGGAGCUGCCUUAGCAACCAUCAAGUGUCGCCGGAGGUUAUGCUAUGCUGUUAAACCAGAUGGAGAGCUUCAUCAAGCUCGAAUAUUCAUCAUGGGCAUCCAAGCUUCAGGAAUAUGAGCAAAUCUACCCUCUGUGAAUUUGUUUCUUUAGGUUGCUAUUCACAGCAUAAUCAUAAAAAAAGAUAUGCUACUCUUUGUAACCCAAAUUGGACAAUCUAUUUUUAAUAUAUAAGCCUGAAACAUAAUUGAUGUUAUCAA
This is a long non-coding RNA of Dendrobium catenatum, 455 nucleotides long. RefSeq lists it as uncharacterized. The record is from RefSeq and is a predicted model, not a curated record. The transcript is spliced from 2 exons. NCBI's taxonomy places the organism in Eukaryota, Viridiplantae, Streptophyta, Magnoliopsida, Asparagales, Orchidaceae.